AUACUUACCUGGACGGGGUCAAUGGGCGAUCAAGAAGGCUCAUGACCUAGAUCAAUGGCCCACAUUGCACUUUGUGGUUUUGUGGUUUUGUUGGUUUACCAUCUCCCCAACCAGGAGAGUGGACGUCAUAAUUUGUGGCGGAGGGGUACGCGUCCGCGCGGCCCCUA
RNAcentral lists this small nuclear RNA (167 nucleotides) under Oryza punctata. RNAcentral's name for it is "U1 spliceosomal RNA". It matches the Rfam family "U1 spliceosomal RNA". From Rfam's summary of the family: U1 is a small nuclear RNA (snRNA) component of the spliceosome (involved in pre-mRNA splicing). Its 5' end forms complementary base pairs with the 5' splice junction, thus defining the 5' donor site of an intron. The record is from Rfam by way of RNAcentral. Lineage: Eukaryota; Viridiplantae; Streptophyta; Magnoliopsida; Poales; Poaceae.